CUUUCCCUGAAUCAGUAUUAAAUGUAUGUUUCUGUUACAGCUACAGCUCUUUCACAAAGUUUUGUCAAUGAUGGGUUGGGGAAAAUCAUUUAUACUCUAAGAUGUGAAAUAUAGCUCCUGAUGGGAACUUAAACUUAGCAGAAAUUGUUCAGUAGAUUGUACCAGUGAGAAUGAUGUGCAGUAGGAAUUUCACCAAGGCUGCAAUGGGAAGGACUUGUCCUUCUUCUGCUUCAGAUAGGGCACAGUGAGACCUGCCAAUAGAGGACCUCCAGAGCACUGUAUGGGCAGCCAAGGAGCAAUUCUCACUUUUUUUUUAGGCAGUGCAUGUCAGUCAAUCUGCACGGUGCCAUGCCACGCCUGCCCCUUGGACACAGAACCAGUGUCCCCAGGCAGUGCUGUCAUUUCAUGUAACCCAGCUGCUUUGUGCUGCUGCACUUAAUGGACACCACCAACCAGUAUAGUCACUGAGCUCUGGGUUCAGGUGCUGACUCCACCAAGCCAAAGAAUAUUUGCCAUUGAUAUGAGCCCUCAGUCAGAGCACGUGACAUUUUCCAUUACAGUACCUGCCUAACAAAGCAUUUGUAAUUCAGCAUCAAAAUUUACUCCAAACCUAGUCUUGAGGGACAUACCUUUGCUGUGUUCUAAGGCUUUUUUCAUGUUUAAUUUUGUUAUUGAAAUAUUUUUGUUUCUAUUUUCUUCCUGUUUUGUGCCCCAUCAAUUAAAAACACACAAAUAAGGAAAGGCAUUAGUAUUUACUGGGGUUAUGUACUACAUAUUUUUCACUCAGUUUGGCUUUGUUCCAUUUUCAUAAACUUUGAAUUGCAGCCUUAUAGUUCAAAUUGUACUUUCUGAAACAUGCAAUAAACAUAAUGCUCUACUAAACACUAAAGAGACUUUAGUCCAGAGAGACUCCUUCUCAUAAAUUUCUUUAUUAUAGGUAUUUUUUUGAACACACCCUAGAUAGUUUUGUCUUUGCUUUUCUGUAUUUGCUUCAUAUUGCUUUCAUCCAACUAGCACAACUCCAGGUACUUAAUUGGAACAUUUUUUAGGGUUUCUUACAUAAAUUCAAGCAUUAUUGUCUUCUGGUUAUUUUUUAGUAGUGCACUCAAAACUGUCAAACUCAUUAUAGAGCAGUCACUCCUGUUAACUCUUUUUUUGCUUUGUGCUCCAUCAGUAAUACACAAAUAAUUACUUUGGAUCUGAACUUCUCUGACUGACUGGUGGUUCAGUGAAUGCACAGAAAAAACAGAAAACUCAGCAGGUGCUGACCAGUCCAUUACACACUCACAAAGUUGUCUUCAAGUUGCCACUGAUUCUGAAAACCACAGCUACUCUGAUUUUUUGGUGCAAUAUGAUACAAUACUACAUUGCAUAGGGUAUACAUAUUUACCCAUGGAAAGACUGAAAAUCAUAGUAUUUCUACUGCAGGCAUCAAGGUUUUUCUGUGGCAUCUAACCAGUAGCUGGAAAGUCUUGUCUCAUGUCAGUAAGGACAAGACUGAACUACAUUUAAUGCAAGG
Passer domesticus (house sparrow) is the source of this 1519-nucleotide long non-coding RNA. RefSeq lists it as uncharacterized. The record is from RefSeq and is a predicted model, not a curated record. The transcript is spliced from 2 exons. Lineage: Eukaryota; Metazoa; Chordata; Aves; Passeriformes; Passeridae.